ACGGCCAGGACUACAGGGGUAUCUAAUCCCUUUCGCUCCCCUGGCUUUCGUCCAUGAGCGUCAGUAAUGGCCCAGCAGAGCGCCUUCGCCACUGGUGUUCUUCCCGAUAUCUACGCAUUUCACCGCUACACCGGGAAUUCCCUCUGCCCCUACCAUACUCAAGCCUUUCAGUUUCCACUGCCAUGAUGGAGUUAAGCUCCACGCUUUAACAGCAGACUUGAAAAGCCGCCUGCGGACGCUUUGCGCCAAUC
Molecule: ribosomal RNA, 251 nt
Filed under: uncultured bacterium
Lineage: Bacteria
Description: partial 16S ribosomal RNA
Source: RNAcentral